ACAUGCAAGUAUCCGCGCCCCCGUGAGAAUGCCCUAAUAGUUCCCUGCCCGGGAACAAGGAGCCGGUAUCAGGCACAAUAAAACAUUAGCCCACAACACCUUGCUUUGCCACACCCUCAAGGGAAUUCAGCAGUGAUAAACAUUAAGCCAUAAGUGAAAACUUGACUUAGUAAAAGCUAAGAGGGCCGGUCAAACUCGUGCCAGCCACCGCGGUUAUACGAGAGGCCCGAGUCGAUAGUCAACGGCGUAAAGAGUGGUUAGAGAAAAUUCUAUACUAAAGCCGAACGCCCUCUAUGCUGUUAUACGCAUGCCGAAGGUGAGAAGCCCACCCACGAAAGUGGCUUUAUAAUCUUGAAUCCACGAAAGCUAAGGCACAAACUGGGAUUAGAUACCCCACUAUGCUUAGCCCUAAACAUUGACAACACCCUACAUAUGUUGUCCGCCUGGGAACUACGAGCAUAAGCUUAAAACCCAAAGGACUUGGCGGUGCUUUAGACCCACCUAGAGGAGCCUGUCCUAGAACCGAUAAUCCCCGUUCAACCUCACCCUUCCUUGUUUUUCCCGCCUAUAUACCGCCGUCGUCAGCUUACCCUGUGAAGGACUAAUAGUAAGCAAAAUUGGUACAACCCUAAACGCCAGGUCGAGGUGUAGCGUAUGGAGGGGGAAGAGAUGGGCUACAUUCUUUAGUACAGAGAAUACGAAUGGUGUGUUGAAAUUACAUGCCUGAAGGAGGAUUUAGCAGUAAGCAGGAAAUAGAGUGUCCAGCUGAAGUCGGCCCUGAAGCGCGCACACACCGCCCGUCACUCUCCCCAAACAAUUAAAUUCACUUAAAUAAAACCUCAUCACAGUAGAGGGGAGGCAAGUCGUAACAUGGUAAGUGUACCGGAAGGUGCACUUGGCACAAAUU
RNAcentral lists this non-coding RNA (907 nucleotides) under Protonibea diacanthus. RNAcentral describes it as "12S ribosomal RNA". It matches the Rfam family "Bacterial small subunit ribosomal RNA". The record is from RNAcentral. Lineage: Eukaryota; Metazoa; Chordata; Actinopteri; Sciaenidae.